AGUGAACGCUGGCGGCGUGCCUAAUACAUGCAAGUCGAACGGAAUUUAAAAGAGCUUGCUCUUUUAAAUUUAGUGGCGCACGGGUGAGUAAUAUAUAGUUAAUCUGCCCCUUGCUGGAGGACAACAGUUAGAAAUGACUGCUAAUACUCCAUACUCCUUUUUACCAUAAGAUAAAUCGGGAAAGAAUUUCGGCAAGGGAUGAGACUAUAUCGUAUCAGCUAGUCGGUGGGGUAACGGCCUACCGAGGCUAUGACGCGUAACUGGUCUGAGAGGAUGAUCAGUCACAUUGGAACUAAGACACGGUCCAAACUCCUACGGGAGGCAGCAGUAGGGAAUAUUGCGCAAUGGGGGAAACCCUGACGCAGCAACGCCGCGUGGAGGAUGACACUUUUCGGAGCGUAAACUCCUUUUGUUAGGGAAGAAUAAGACGGUACCU
This 436-nucleotide ribosomal RNA is filed under the name Campylobacter gracilis. RNAcentral's name for it is "bacterial SSU rRNA". It matches the Rfam family "Bacterial small subunit ribosomal RNA", at positions 29 to 480 of the family's 1533-position model. The record is from RNAcentral. Lineage: Bacteria; Pseudomonadati; Campylobacterota; Epsilonproteobacteria; Campylobacterales; Campylobacteraceae.